AAAAAACCCGUAACCCCCUGGGGUUAUCCUGCGCUUGGAAGAAGAACUAGAAAAAGGAAAAAAUAUAGUGAGACUUUGAUUCUUCGUCGCCGUAGUAAAUAGGAGAGAAAAUCGAAUUUCUUUCUUCGUCUUAAAAAAAAUAGGAGUUAAUUAACUGUGACACGUUCACUAAAAAAAAAUCCUUUUGUAGCAAAGCAUUUAUUAAGAAAAAUAGAGAAGCUUAAUACAAAGGCGGAAAAAGAAAUCAUAAUAACUUGGUCCCGGGCAUCUACUAUUAUACCCACAAUGAUUGGCCAUACUAUCGCUAUACAUAAUGGAAGGGAACACUUACCCGUUUAUAUAAUCGACCUUAUGGUAGGACAUAAAUUGGGAGAAUUUUCACCUACUAUAAAUUUUAGAGGACACGCGAAAAAUGAUAAUAGAUCUCGUCGUUAAUUAAAUGAAUUCAAAAAAAUGAAUAAUGAAUAUAAUUUUUUUUUUUAGUGAGAGGUAAACCUUAUGAUAAAGAAGAAAAAGAAGAAAUCAUAUACUUCCGUAUAUGCUUUAGGGCAAUAUAUAUCUAUGUCUGCCCACAAAGCACGGAGAGUUAUUGAUCAGAUCCGUGGACGUUCCUACGAAGAAGCACUUAUGAUAUUAGAACUUAUGCCGUAUCGAGGAUGUUAUCCCAUUUUUAAAUUAGUUUAUUCUGCAGCAGCAAAUGCUAGUCAUAAUAAGGGUUUCAAAGAAACCAAUUUAGUCAUUAGUAAAGCUGAAGUGAAUCAAGGAAAUACGGUGAAAAAAUUAAAACCUCGGGCACGAGGACGGAGUUACCCAAUAAAAAGAUCCACUUGUCAUAUAACUAUCGUAUUGGAAGAUAUAUCCUUAUAUCAACAAUAUGAAGAAUAUUUAAUGUAUUUAAAAAAACCUGGAUGCAGCAAUGAAAACAUAAAUCUAACAUGUUACGAUACAUAUAGUAGUGGAGGCCCAUGGGACAAAAAAUAAAUCCACUUGGUUUCAGACUUGGUACAACCCAAAGUCAUCAUUCUAUUUGGUUUGCACAACCAAAAAAGUAUUCUGAAGGUUUAGAAGAAGAUAAAAAAAUACGAGACUGUAUUAAAAAUUAUGUCCAAAAAAAUAUAAGAAUAUCCUCUGGUAUGGAGGGAAUUGCACGUAUCGAAAUUCAAAAAAGAAUCGAUCUCAUUCAGAUCAUAAUCUAUAUGGGAUUUCCUAAAUUAUUAAUUGAAGAUAAACCCCGAAGAAUCGAAGAAUUACAGAUGAAUGUUCAAAAAGAACUUAAUUGUGUCAAUAGAAAACUCAACAUUGCUAUUACCCGAAUUUCCAAUCCGUAUGGGCAUCCUAAUAUUCUUGCAGAAUUUAUAGCUGGCCAAUUAAAAAAUCGCGUUUCUUUUCGAAAAGCAAUGAAAAAAGCUAUUGAAUUAACUGAACAGGCGAAUACAAAAGGAAUUCAAGUACAAAUUGCAGGACGUAUCGACGGAAAAGAAAUUGCACGUGUUGAAUGGAUCAGAGAAGGCAGAGUUCCUUUACAAACAAUUGAAGCUAAAAUUGAUUAUUGUUCCUAUACAGUUCGAACUAUUUAUGGGGUUUUAGGAAUAAAAAUUUGGAUAUUCGUAGACGAAGAAUAAAAAAACUUUAUUUGUCUUUACAUUUUAUCCAAUGAUAAAAAACGAAAACUAUGUAGUAUAACACUAUAAAGAAAUAAAAAUAAAAACUUGUAGUCUUCUUUUUUAUGUUUAAGAAAAAAAAAUAAGCAAUUCUAUAAGGUUGAAUAAACAUUUCCAUCAAAACUCCUUUGAUAUAAUUGCUAUGCUUAGUGUGUGACUCGUUGGUUUAGGGUUAGAUUACGAUAAAAAAAAAAAAGAACUUACCAACUAAUAACUACAGCAUUAAUAAAUAACCUAAGCAACUCAUUGCUUCGCAUUAUCUGGAUCCAAAAAAUUAGUCAAGAUAUGAUAGGCUGAUCAUAUCAUUGGAGCAACUGACUAAAAAAAAAGAAUAAAGAAAGAUGAUUAUUAAGUUAUGAAAGGUAAUCAAAAAGUAUGCGGAUAAAUGGAAGGAUGAAAGAAAGAGCGAAAAAAUUGAAUAUUAAUGAUAUAUGAUUCCAAUUUGGAAAAUCUAUGAGGUCACUGUAAGAAAAGCAAUGUAAUAAAGCAUCAAUACAGAUUCAUUCAUAAUAAUUAGAUAAAUCUGUUCCGAAAACAAAAAAUUAAGAGCCUUGAGCCAAUAAAAACUGAGAAAAUUGCCUAAAAAAAAAAAAGAAAUUCAAAAUUUCAUGUAAAAGCUCCAUUGUAGAAUUCAGGCCUAAUGAUUAAUCAAGAAGCGAUGGGAACGACGGAACCCAUGAAUAUAUAGGAUUCUAGUGAACAAGAAAUCUUAGUAAUUCAUUGGACAGGAUGGCGGAAUAAACCAGAAACUUUAUUAUCUAUUCUGAUUUCUUAUUUUGAUUCUGAGACCUCGGGGGAUAAACAGCAAACUUAAAUAGAUAUUGAAAGAGUAAAUAUUCGCCGGCGAAAAAUUGGUUUUUUUUUUCAAAUAAAAACAGUAAUAAAAGAUGAAAAAAACAAUGAAAAAAAUAAAAUAAGGAUUUGUUAUAAUAUCCUAACUCUAAUAAAAAUUACAUUUGUAAUGAUGAUAUUACGUUAUUUUUAAAUAAAUCGAAAUAAAAUUGAUCUUUGAUUCUAUUUCAAAAAAGACAUACACAAAUUUAGAAGAGAUAAGAUGAAAUAAAAAAAAAUACCAUGAUUAAUAGGAUUAAUCAUUAACUACAUCUAUAUCUUAAUUAAUCCUUUUAUUCGCGAGGAGCUGGAUGAGAAGAAACUCUCACGUCCAGUUCUGCAGUAGAGAUGGUAGAAAAAACCCAUCAACUAUAACCCAAAAAGAACCAAAUUUCGUAAACAACAUCGAGGAAGACUAAAAGGAAUAUCCUCUCGUGGGAAUCGUAUUUGUUUUGGCAGAUAUGCUCUUCAAACACUUGAACCCGCUUGGAUUACAUCUAGACAAAUAGAAGCAGGGCGACGAGCAAUGACACGAAAUAUACGACGUGGUGGAAAAAUUUGGGUACGUAUAUUUCCAGACAAGCCAGUUACAGUAAGACCCGCGGAAACGCGUAUGGGUUCUGGGAAAGGAUCCCCAGAGUACUAGGUAGCUGUGGUUAAACCAGGUAAAAUCCUUUAUGAAAUGGGUGGUGUACCAGAAAAUAUAGCCAGAAAAGCUAUUUCAAUCGCGGCAUCAAAAAUGCCUAUAAAAACCCAAUUCAUUAUUUCUGAAUAGGAAUAUAGAAUGAAAAAGCUAAAUAACAUUUAAGGAUAAAAAGAUUAUAAGUUUUUUUUUGACAAACAAUAUUUUUUUUACUUCGUCCUUUGCACUAAAAGAAGAGAUACAAAAAUAUGAUUCAACCACAAACCUAUUUGAAUGUAGCAGACAACAGCGGGGCUCGAAAAUUGAUGUGUAUUCGAAUAAUAGGAGCUAGUAAUCGCCGCUAUGCUCAUAUUGGUGACGUUAUUGUUGCUGUAAUCAAGGAAGCAAUCCCAAAUACUACUCUAGAAAGAUCAGAAGUGGUCAGAGCUGUAAUUGUACGUACUUGUAAAGAACUCAAACGUAAGAAUGGGACGAUAAUACGAUAUGACGACAAUGCCGCAGUUGUCAUUGAUCAAGAAGGAAAUCCAAAAGGAACUCGCGUUUUUGGGGCGAUCCCACGGGAAUUGAGACAAUUAAACUUUACUAAAAUAGUUUCAUUAGCUCCUGAAGUAUUAUAAGACCUAAAUAUCGAUAGUUAAUAUAGGAUAGGAUUAAA
Molecule: long non-coding RNA, 3790 nt
Filed under: Brassica napus (rape)
Lineage: Eukaryota; Viridiplantae; Streptophyta; Magnoliopsida; Brassicales; Brassicaceae
Source: RNAcentral